RNAcentral lists this ribosomal RNA (370 nucleotides) under uncultured organism. RNAcentral describes it as "bacterial SSU rRNA". It matches the Rfam family "Bacterial small subunit ribosomal RNA", at positions 526 to 896 of the family's 1533-position model. The record is from RNAcentral.
CGAAGGGGGCUAGCGUUGCUCGGAAUCACUGGGCGUAAAGGGCGCGUAGGCGGCCGAUCAAGUCAGAGGUGAAAGCCCAAGGCUCAACCUUGGAAUUGCCUUUGAUACUGUUCGGCUCGAGACCGGAAGAGGUAAGUGGAACUGCGAGUGUAGAGGUGAAAUUCGUAGAUAUUCGCAAGAACACCAGUGGCGAAGGCGGCUUACUGGUCCGGUUCUGACGCUGAGGCGCGAAAGCGUGGGGAGCAAACAGGAUUAGAUACCCUGGUAGUCCACGCCGUAAACGAUGGAUGCUAGCCGUUGGCAGGCUUGCCUGUCAGUGGCGCAGCUAACGCUUUAAGCAUCCCGCCUGGGGAGUACGGUCGCAAGAUUA